RNAcentral lists this ribosomal RNA (1039 nucleotides) under Triticum aestivum (bread wheat). RNAcentral's name for it is "partial small subunit ribosomal RNA". The record is from RNAcentral. Lineage: Eukaryota; Viridiplantae; Streptophyta; Magnoliopsida; Poales; Poaceae.
GCCACACAUACAGGCCACUCACAACCCAAUAGCAAGGGCUGAGUGAGCGGCGACUCCGGUGAUUCCCGACGGGCAUUGCAGGGGGAGAGCGGCGAUUCCCGGCGUGCACAGCCGGAGAGAGGGGCGAUUCAGGUGGUUCUGGCAGACAACGGAGGCGGAGGCCCAGUGACGAGCUUCCUGAGACAGCGCCAUGGACGCAUCCGCGAGUGGGCGACACGAUGGUCUCCUCCCCGACGGCGUCCUCUCGUCGGCGAAGAGGGACUCGCCCUCCACGGGAUCUCGCCGCAGUGUGAGGAGUCGCUGGUGGAGGUCCUGCUCGCGGAGGGGAGCGACGACGAGUCCCCAUGAAUUUGCAGAGGGAGGGGGCGAUGCCGUCUUCAGAUGAGGCGGGGCGCGCUUAUGGCGCCGCGCACGAGCUGGAGGCCCUCCUUAAUUUGCGCAUGCUCGCUUGCUCUUCCACGCCGACGAGGAGGAGGCCCUCUUCCUCUUCCGAGAUGACGACGAUGAGGCGCAAGGCCGAGGCGACUGUGGCACCACUGGUCGGUGACGACGGGGCCGUGCUCCGCCUGCUCCGUGCUCACGCAGACAAUAGACGCCAUGGAGCUGAAUUCAAGAUAUGUAAUGGCGGUUUCAACCCCACAGUUACCUGCCCCGACGAGGAGCGCCGUCCCUAUGAGGCUGUCGCCUGGUUAAAGUGUGACGGCCUCGACCGCCUCGCGAUGGCCCCCCUGCGUUGGAUUCUGAUUUCCUUGUCAGUGUGACGAUGCUUGCGAUUUGCAAGGGCAUCGGAGCUCUGCGGGUUCCUCGACAAAAGCAAAUCAGGUGACCGUUGUUUCUUUGUUCUGGGAAAAUGUAGCUCAAUUCACAUAUGUGGGAUGAUCGGUUCAGUUAGUUGUACAGUCUAUUGUUUGAUGAGCUCGAUGCACUUUGUGUUGUAAGGAUUUUAUUUGAGAUAGUGCAGUCAUAUUAGCUUCUGCACCUGGAGUGCCCAUGCUGCAUUGAGUGGGACAAUUCCAUUUUUUCUGGAGUUUUGUUCUUG